RNAcentral lists this transfer RNA (69 nucleotides) under Rattus norvegicus (Norway rat). It matches the Rfam family "tRNA". From Rfam's summary of the family: Transfer RNA (tRNA) molecules are approximately 80 nucleotides in length. Their secondary structure includes four short double-helical elements and three loops (D, anti-codon, and T loops). Lineage: Eukaryota; Metazoa; Chordata; Mammalia; Rodentia; Muridae. The record is from Rfam by way of RNAcentral.
GGGGAUUUAGCUCAGUGGUAGAGCGCUUGCCUAGCAAGCACUAGGCCCUGGGUUCAGUCCCCAGCUCCG